UUAGUUACAGAUACAGGUGAGUGGUAGCUUAGUUACAGAUACAGGUGAGUGGUAGCUUAGUUACAGGUGAGUUGUAGCUUACAGAUACAGGUGAGUUGUAGCUGAGUUAAGAAAUACAGGUGAGUUGUAGCUUAGUUUCAGAUACAGGUGAGUUCUAGCUUAGUUCCAGAUACAGGUGAGUUCUAGCUUAGUUCCAGAUACAGGUGAAUUCUAGCUGAGUUACAGAUACAGGUGAGUUGUAGCUGAGUUACAGAUACAUUUGAGUUGUAGCUUACAGAUACAGGUGAGUUGUAGCUCACAGAUACAGGUGAGUUGUAGCUUACAGAUACAGGUGAGUUGUGGCUUACAGAUACAGGUGAGUUGUAGCUUAGUUACAGAUACAGGUGAGUUGUAGCUUAGUUACAGAUACAGGUGAGUUGUAGCUUAGUUACAGAUACAGGUGAUUUGUGGCUUAGUUACAGAUACAGGUGAGUUGUAGCUUACAGAUACAGGUGAUUUGUGGCUUAGUUACAGAUACAGGUGAGUUGUAGCUUAGUUACAGAUACAGGUGAGUUGU
Oncorhynchus keta (chum salmon) is the source of this 556-nucleotide long non-coding RNA. RefSeq lists it as uncharacterized. The record is from RefSeq and is a predicted model, not a curated record. The transcript has 3 exons. NCBI's taxonomy places the organism in Eukaryota, Metazoa, Chordata, Actinopteri, Salmoniformes, Salmonidae.